Molecule: long non-coding RNA, 694 nt
Organism: Danio aesculapii
Lineage: Eukaryota; Metazoa; Chordata; Actinopteri; Cypriniformes; Danionidae
Exons: 3
Source: RefSeq, a predicted model, not a curated record
CCUCUUGAACGAUUCUUUCUCCAAUUUUGUUGUUAUUGGCUGCUAGAACUCUUCUGGACAUCAGGUCAAAUGGUCCACCUGAGAACAAAAUAUGUGCAGGUUUGGCAUGCUGUCCCGGGAGAGAACCUUGAACUCAGAGAUAGAUGAUCCCAAGGCUCCCGCCUGGUCAAUGAGCGUUAGGAGGGAUACGAGAUCAGACUGUGGGAGGAAACCGGAGUACCUGGGAAAACCCACACAAACACGGGGAGAACAUGUAAACUACGCACAGAAAGUGCCGACUGGCUCAGCUAAGUACUUGAUCCAGCUAUCUUCUUGCUGUGAGGCAGCAGUGCUAGCCACUAAGCCACAGUGUCGCCCGAUCCUAGAAUUGAGUAGGAGGGACGGAUUGGGGGGGUUCUUCCAAAACAAAGAUAGGGAAUAAAGUUAGGCUGGACAUUUAUGUUAAAUUUGGAGUAAUCUGAUUGGCUAGCAAAUUAUUAGCGAUAGGGACCAGCUGCAGUCAAUCAUAUCGCAUGCUCCUCUUAAAAUUAGUUUGUGAAUCUUCACAUAAAACAACUGACAAUUUUGAAAAUACUAUUUAUAUAUUUCUAAAGUAAUUUAUUGAUAUACAUAACCAGGGAGCCAAUGAGAAUCAACAGACUAACACGUAUGCUCUAAAAUGAACUCAGUCGCACGAAUUUAACAUGCUCUUCAA